Molecule: ribosomal RNA, 923 nt
Filed under: human gut metagenome
Description: bacterial SSU rRNA
Rfam family: Bacterial small subunit ribosomal RNA
Source: RNAcentral
GAGUUUGAUCCUGGCUCAGGACGAACGCUGGCGGCGUGCCUAAUACAUGCAAGUAGAACGCUGAAGAGAGGAGCUUGCUCUUCUUGGAUGAGUUGCGAACGGGUGAGUAACGCGUAGGUAACCUGCCUUGUAGCGGGGGAUAACUAUUGGAAACGAUAGCUAAUACCGCAUAACAAUGGAUGACACAUGUCAUUUAUUUGAAAGGGGCAAUUGCUCCACUACAAGAUGGACCUGCGUUGUAUUAGCUAGUAGGUGAGGUAAUGGCUCACCUAGGCGACGAUACAUAGCCGACCUGAGAGGGUGAUCGGCCACACUGGGACUGAGACACGGCCCAGACUCCUACGGGAGGCAGCAGUAGGGAAUCUUCGGCAAUGGGGGCAACCCUGACCGAGCAACGCCGCGUGAGUGAAGAAGGUUUUCGGAUCGUAAAGCUCUGUUGUAAGUCAAGAACGGGUGUGAGAGUGGAAAGUUCACACUGUGACGGUAGCUUACCAGAAAGGGACGGCUAACUACGUGCCAGCAGCCGCGGUAAUACGUAGGUCCCGAGCGUUGUCCGGAUUUAUUGGGCGUAAAGCGAGCGCAGGCGGUUUGAUAAGUCUGAAGUUAAAGGCUGUGGCUCAACCAUAGUUCGCUUUGGAAACUGUCAAACUUGAGUGCAGAAGGGGAGAGUGGAAUUCCAUGUGUAGCGGUGAAAUGCGUAGAUAUAUGGAGGAACACCGGUGGCGAAAGCGGCUCUCUGGUCUGUAACUGACGCUGAGGCUCGAAAGCGUGGGGAGCGAACAGGAUUAGAUACCCUGGUAGUCCACGCCGUAAACGAUGAGUGCUAGGUGUUGGAUCCUUUCCGGGAUUCAGUGCCGCAGCUAACGCAUUAAGCACUCCGCCUGGGGAGUACGACCGCAAGGUUGAAACUCAAAGGAAUUGAC